This 438-nucleotide ribosomal RNA is filed under the name Triticum aestivum (bread wheat). RNAcentral's name for it is "partial small subunit ribosomal RNA". The record is from RNAcentral. Lineage: Eukaryota; Viridiplantae; Streptophyta; Magnoliopsida; Poales; Poaceae.
AUGACUAGGGAUAACCUUAGGAAGAGACACAUCAUCAAACCCCUUGAUCGUGUUUACUUCUUGGAACAAGAGUCUUGUUCUCGCCUAUUUUUUGAAUGUAUAGUUGCUAAACAUCUCUGGGCCCACAUUGAGGAAUAUUUCUCUAGUCAGAUUGGCUCAUCCUUCGCAUCUGUCGCCAGAUUCUGGAUUGCUACCAAAAAGUGCUCAGUUUUAAACACGGUUAGCUCGGCUGUCCUUUGGUGCCUCUGGAAAUAUAGAAAUGCUAUGAUUUUCAGGAACACCUCCUGUAUUUCCAUUCUGCAGGUCUUGAGGUUGAUCAGGAACAUGGUGAGGAACUGGGCGAUUCUCUCCUCCGGAUCGGACAAGGACAAGUUGAUGAGCUUCGUGGAAACCCUAACAAGAUCCCUCCAGAAACCGUUAGCGAUCACUUGUGGCUGA